RNAcentral lists this ribosomal RNA (465 nucleotides) under Vreelandella stevensii. RNAcentral's name for it is "partial 16S ribosomal RNA". It matches the Rfam family "Bacterial small subunit ribosomal RNA", at positions 338 to 795 of the family's 1533-position model. Lineage: Bacteria; Pseudomonadati; Pseudomonadota; Gammaproteobacteria; Oceanospirillales; Halomonadaceae. The record is from RNAcentral.
CCUACGGGCGGCAGCAGUGGGGAAUAUUGGACAAUGGGCGAAAGCCUGAUCCAGCCAUGCCGCGUGUGUGAAGAAGGCCUUCGGGUUGUAAAGCACUUUCAGUGGGGAAGAAAGCCUUGGGGCUAAUACCCUCGAGGAAGGACAUCACCCACAGAAGAAGCACCGGCUAACUCCGUGCCAGCAGCCGCGGUAAUACGGAGGGUGCGAGCGUUAAUCGGAAUUACUGGGCGUAAAGCGCGCGUAGGCGGUCUGAUAAGCCGGUUGUGAAAGCCCCGGGCUCAACCUGGGAACGGCAUCCGGAACUGUCAGGCUAGAGUGCAGGAGAGGAAGGUAGAAUUCCCUGUGUAGCGGUGAAAUGCGUAGAGAUCGGGAGGAAUACCAGUGGCGAAGGCGGCCUUCUGGACUGACACUGACGCUGAGGUGCGAAAGCGUGGGUAGCAAACAGGAUUAGAUACCCCAGUAGUC